RNAcentral lists this ribosomal RNA (461 nucleotides) under Streptococcus mitis. RNAcentral's name for it is "bacterial SSU rRNA". It matches the Rfam family "Bacterial small subunit ribosomal RNA", at positions 28 to 473 of the family's 1533-position model. Lineage: Bacteria; Bacillati; Bacillota; Bacilli; Lactobacillales; Streptococcaceae. The record is from RNAcentral.
GACGAACGCUGGCGGCGUGCCUAAUACAUGCAAGUAGAACGCUGAAGGAGGAGCUUGCUUCUCUGGAUGAGUUGCGAACGGGUGAGUAACGCGUAGGUAACCUGCCUGGUAGCGGGGGAUAACUAUUGGAAACGAUAGCUAAUACCGCAUAAUAGCAGUUAUUGCAUGAUAACUGUUUGAAAGGUGCAAAUGCAUCACUACCGAUGGACCUGCGUUGUAUUAGCUAGUUGGUGGGGUAACGGCUCACCAAGGCGACGAUACAUAGCCGACCUGAGAGGGUGAUCGGCCACACUGGGACUGAGACACGGCCCAGACUCCUACGGGAGGCAGCAGUAGGGAAUCUUCGGCUAAUGGCUGGAAGUCUGACCGAGCAACGCCGCGUGAGUGAAGAAGGUUUUCGGAUCGUAAAGCUCUGUUGUAAGAGAAGAACGAGUGUGAGAGUGGAAAGUUCACACUGUGAC